RNAcentral lists this ribosomal RNA (441 nucleotides) under uncultured bacterium. RNAcentral describes it as "partial 16S ribosomal RNA". It matches the Rfam family "Bacterial small subunit ribosomal RNA", at positions 338 to 795 of the family's 1533-position model. The record is from RNAcentral.
CCUACGGGUGGCAGCAGUGGGGAAUAUUGCACAAUGGGGGAAACCCUGAUGCAGCGACACCGCGUGAGUGAAGAAGUAUCUCGGUAUGUAAAGCUCUAUCAGCAGGGAAGAAAAUGACGGUACCAAAGGAAUAAGCCCCGGCUAACUACGUGCCAGCAGCCGCGGUAAUACGUAGGGGGCAAGCGUUGUUCGGAAUGACUGGGCGUAAAGGGUGUGUAGGUGGUUUGAUAAGUUAGAUGUGUAAUACCCAGGGCUUAAAUCGGGUGCUGCAUCUAAAACUGUUAGACUUGAGUACUGGAGAGGAUAGUGGAAUUCGUGGUGUAGCGGUGGAAUGCGUAGAUAUUAGGAAGAACAUCAGUGGCGAAGGCGACUAUCUGGACAGCAACUGACACUGAGGCACGAAAGCGUGGGGAGCAAACAGGAUUAGAUACCCGUGUAGUC